RNAcentral lists this ribosomal RNA (200 nucleotides) under uncultured Glomus. RNAcentral describes it as "partial small subunit ribosomal RNA". It matches the Rfam family "Eukaryotic small subunit ribosomal RNA", at positions 591 to 797 of the family's 1831-position model. Lineage: Eukaryota; Fungi; Glomeromycota; Glomeromycetes; Glomerales; Glomeraceae. The record is from RNAcentral.
CCAAUAGCGUAUAUUAAAGUUGCUGCAGUUAAAAAGCUCGUAGUUGAAUUUCGGGACCAACAUGUCGGUCGUGCUUCGGUACGUACUGUCAUAAUUGGUUUCUCCCUUCUGAAGAACCUUGAUGUCAUUAAUUUGGUGUCUUGGGGAAUCAGGACUGUUACUUUGAAAAAAUUAGAGUGUUUAAAGCAGGCUCGCGCUUG